AGUGAACGCUGGCGGUAGGCCUAACACAUGCAAGUCGAACGGCAGCACAGUAAGAGCUUGCUCUUACGGGUGGCGAGUGGCGGACGGGCGAGGAAUACAUCGGAAUCUACUUUUUCGUGGGGGAUAACGUAGGGAAACUUACGCUAAUACCGCAUACGACCUACGGGUGAAAGCAGGGGAUCUUCGGACCUUGCGCGAUUGAAUGAGCCGAUGUCGGAUUAGCUAGUUGGCGGGGUAAAGGCCCACCAAGGCGACGAUCCGUAGCUGGUCUGAGAGGAUGAUCAGCCACACUGGAACUGAGAAACGGUCCAGACUCCUACGGGAGGCAGCAGUGGGGAAUAUUGGACAAUGGGCGCAAGCCUGAUCCAGCCAUACCGCGUGGGUGAAGAAGGCCUUCGGGUUGUAAAGCCCUUUUGUUGGGAAAGAAAAGCAGCAGGUUAAUACCCCGCUGUUCUGACGGUACCCAAAGAAUAAGCACCGGCUAACUUCGUG
RNAcentral lists this ribosomal RNA (492 nucleotides) under uncultured bacterium. RNAcentral describes it as "partial 16S ribosomal RNA". It matches the Rfam family "Bacterial small subunit ribosomal RNA", at positions 29 to 507 of the family's 1533-position model. The record is from RNAcentral.